AUGAAGGAGAGGAGAUGGCCUGGGGAUCCCAAAUGCUCCUUUUGUGAUGAUAUUGAAUCAUCUCGACAUUUGUUCUUCAUGUGUCCUGUGGCUAGAGUGGUUUGGCGUUGUGUUGGGAUGGCUCUAGGGACUGAGUUAUGUCCGAGCAGUUACUAGCAAUGUUUCUCCUGGUGUCACACUUUCCUUCCUUCUGGGAAGAAGUAUUAUACUGUUGGCCUCGCGGCCGUUUGCCGGGCUAUCUGGCUUGCUCGAAAUCGAGCCACUUUUGAGAAAAAACAAAUUAAGACACCGUUUGAGAUUGUGUUUUCCAUGUGAUCCUUUUUGUUGUAUUGGGCAGGUCUACAGCAAGGAGGUGUCAAGGAGCUAUGCAGCAGGGCGGCGAUGGUCAGAUCGAGCACUAUGAGCAUGAUGAAGAUGUGCGAGAGGGUGAGGAGACCGAUCGAGGGGGAGUGA
Molecule: ribosomal RNA, 453 nt
Filed under: Triticum aestivum (bread wheat)
Lineage: Eukaryota; Viridiplantae; Streptophyta; Magnoliopsida; Poales; Poaceae
Description: partial small subunit ribosomal RNA
Source: RNAcentral